Molecule: ribosomal RNA, 778 nt
Filed under: uncultured Neocallimastigales
Lineage: Eukaryota; Fungi; Neocallimastigomycota; Neocallimastigomycetes; Neocallimastigales
Description: partial large subunit ribosomal RNA
Rfam family: Eukaryotic large subunit ribosomal RNA
Source: RNAcentral
UAUCUCUGUAGAGUCUGCAUAUCAAUAAGCGGAGGAAAAGAAACUAACUAGGAUUCCCUUAGUAACGGCGAGUGAAGCGGGAAGAGCUCAAAUUUGAAAUCUUCAAGGUUCUACCUUGACGAAUUGUAGUUUAAAGAAGUGUUUUCUGUUAGGAUGAGUAGCAAAAGUUCCUUGGAAUAGGGACAUCAUAGAGGGUGAGAAUCCCGUAUUUGGUUACAUUCAUUCUAGCGUUGUGAUACACUUUCAAAGAGUCGGAUUGUUUGGGAAUGCAGUCCAAAAUGGGUGGUAAAUUUCAUCUAAAGCUAAAUAUUGGCGAGAGACCGAUAGCGAACAAGUACCGUGAGGGAAAGAUGAAAAGAACUUUGAAAAGAGAGUUAAACAGUACGUGAAAUUGUCAAAAGGGAAGCGUUUGACACCAGUGUUGUUUUUCCGAAAAUCAAUUACGAAUGGCUUGAUUCUGUGUUGUAUUGACCUUAUCAGCUUUCUUCACUUUUUUCGAGUCUUUCUUAAUGCACUUUUCGGUUAACAAGUCAACAUCAAUUUCUUUUGUUGUAAAAGAGUAUUCGGAAGGUGGCUUUCUUUUCGGAGAAAGUGUUUAUAGCCCUAUACUUCUACAAUCGGAGAGAUUGAGGUCUGCAGCGUAGAUCCUUCGGGGUUAGAUACACUUGUGCUAAGUUGUAGCUUUUCAUAGACAACUUGUUGACUAUGUUUAGUCAUGCGGCUUACUCGCUUGUGCUAUUUUACCUACGCUUAGGAUGUUGACGAGACUGUCGAUCUC